UUGAUCCACUACUUUGCUGCUUCCAAAUCAGGACCACGGUGAUGCUCUUGCUGACGAUCCGCAGAUUUACAGCAAUAAAUCCUGACUAGACAAACAGGUGUGCUUGAUCUAGUUCCUGACACAUCAGUCUCCAUCUCCUAUAAAACUCUUUUCCAUCCUGUCAUGACCAGCUGUCAUCGACUCAACUGCCAAGAGCUGGAAUUUGGCUAAUGGGUUCAUUAGGAGCAGGUGUUGGCUACCUGUCGGCCCGCUGGAGAAAUCAGAAAGGUCACAAUCAUCCCAUUGACCUUUAGCCGAGAGCUCAGAUCUUCUCUGUGUACUCAGAUUAAACUCUAAGACUCCCUUAUGUAAGCUCCUGUCAGGGAAAACCUUCCUUUCACUCUUCUGAGGUUCCCCAAGGUUUCAGAUCAAUCAUCUGAUUUCACCGACCUGAAGGGACCCUGUACCAAGACUGAGCAAGAGAAAAAAUACAUUUGCAUGAUGCCUGGGAGAGUUUAUCAGUAGUACUUUUCAUCCACAGCCAAACAACAGCAGCAUGGAAAUCUGCCAUGUUGAAUGACAUUACUCAUGAUUCAGCAGGUGUCCGAAUUCUACAGCCACAAGCGAUGCUUAGCUGCAUUUGAUUUUUUGCCAAGUAAAAUAAAUUCAUUUCCAGUUUCCGGUCUCUACGCAUUUUAACCUGUACUGAUGCUUUAUUUAUUAUACACACUGUAUUUGGAGCGAGCUUUUGUUCUGAUGUUGCAAUGAAAAUGAGAAGCAUGUGAGUCCAGUUAAUGAGUCCAUUCGGUUCUUUAAUUGUCUUGCUUGUGUUGUUAAUGAGGUU
Long non-coding RNA from Tachysurus fulvidraco (yellow catfish), 823 nucleotides. RefSeq lists it as uncharacterized. The record is from RefSeq and is a predicted model, not a curated record. Lineage: Eukaryota; Metazoa; Chordata; Actinopteri; Siluriformes; Bagridae. The transcript has 3 exons.